RNAcentral lists this long non-coding RNA (1523 nucleotides) under Sus scrofa (pig). RNAcentral describes it as "lncRNA (ENSSSCG00070016212.1)". The record is from RNAcentral. Lineage: Eukaryota; Metazoa; Chordata; Mammalia; Artiodactyla; Suidae.
AGAGCAUUCAGACUCCAAGGUUGGCCCUAGGGAGCAGCUGACAUUAGAGGGGGAGUUGAACCUGUGAACUUUUGGCUUAAAAGUAAGAGUUCAACUCUUCCCCCAGUUCUCUCUGGUGUUGCAAUGCUGGCCAAAGCUGGCUGCUGUACUCUGCGUAAGACCGGAAACCCCAAAUUGGGUUUACAUCUCUCUGGCCGAGGUACCUUCCCCAGCUCCACCUCCAGUUGUUCCAUGGGGGUUUGAGGUGUGGAGGAGGAGUCAACGGAGCUUGGUGUCUCUCUGGCUGAGGGAGCAUCUUAGAGUAAAGCUAGAUUGUGGCUCCUUGCUCCACUUUCUCAAGUUAUCAAAGUGUGCGCUCCUCCACUCUUCUGCAAAGAACUAUAUGUCUCAUCUGAAGGUUAGUGGGGGUGGUUGCAGCUUCAGGAAGGCUCUCCAGCAUGGUGGGGGCAAUGGGAGAAUAUCGAAGUGGGAGUCAGGAUGCCUAAAUCUGAGUAUUGGGUCUGUGCUCGGAGAACUUAGGUGAGUCAUGGACAUCUGUAUAUAGCAUGUUGGGGUUUUAAAUCUUGUAUGUACAUGAUUUUAUAUAGUCUUUACAACAGCCUUCUUCAUGGGACAUUAUUUCACUGUUCUAUCCCAUUUUAUAGAGAAGGCAAGAGAGUCUUGAGGAGUUUAGGGGACUGCAGUGUCCCCCGGGUACAUGGCAGUGCUUGACCUCGGUGCUUCUUUCCCACAAAUGUUCACUUUAUAGCCCAGGUCCCAGGUUUCCUCUCUGGAAACAAGAAUAUUGGACCAUCUCGACAAUCUGGUCCUAUUCUGACAUUCUGUGGUUCUGUGGAGUAAGUCAUAUGCAUCUUCUCUCUAAUGCUGUGUCUUUAGUACCUGAGUUUAAGAUGCCUUUGCCACAUUGUGAGACAGAGAGACACAGCAAAGGAAGCAGUAACAGGAUCAUUAUCACCUUCAGAGGGAGGAGUCAUAGCAUGAGAAGGGAACUGGCUUGGAGCCAGACCAAGGCAGGCUGAAAUCUUGACUCUUCCAUGUAUUAACACUGAGACUUUGAACAAAUCACUCAACCUCUUUGAGAUAGAUAUUGCUUCCUCUCCUGAAUUUUCAAAUGGAGGCAAUGACACCAACUUUGCAGGUAGAUGGUUGUGAAUGUCAUGUGAAAUUAUUUUAAAAAGGCUGACAUGCUUAUUACCUGUUAGGUAGGUAGUGGUGUUUCUUAAAAGUUAAUUCUCUUUCCUCACUUUUUUGGUGGAUAUGAAUAUCAAGCCUGUUGUCAACAAUAAGGAUUUGCUCAAUUUCUGGUGGUCAUGACAAAAUAUGCUAUAUUGACUGGAAAGGGGCCUAAGACCAUUGGCCUUAUGCAUUGGUGUGUGCUCAGGGGCAAAGAAGAACAAAUACGUUUUAUUUGGUUGGAGUGAGAGUGAAUGGACACAGCCAGAAAUGCCCCUACAUGUGAAAAAUAAUUUUGGGGACCAUUAUGUAUCUUAAAUCGUGUAAAUUAUGCACAUUCUUCCAUAAUA